RNAcentral lists this ribosomal RNA (926 nucleotides) under uncultured Bacteroidota bacterium. Its description in RNAcentral is "bacterial SSU rRNA". It matches the Rfam family "Bacterial small subunit ribosomal RNA", at positions 1 to 917 of the family's 1533-position model. Lineage: Bacteria; Pseudomonadati; Bacteroidota. The record is from RNAcentral.
UGGAUCCAGACUUUGAUUCUGGCUCAGGAUGAACGCUAGCUACAGGCUUAACACAUGCAAGUCGAGGGGAAACGAUAGAGAAAGCUUGCUUUUUCUAGGCGUCGACCGGCGCACGGGUGAGUAACGCGUAUCCAACCUGCCCACCACUUGGGGAUAACCUUGCGAAAGUAAGACUAAUACCCAAUGAUAUCUCAAGAAGACAUCUGAAUGAGAUUAAAGAUUUAUCGGUGAUGGAUGGGGAUGCGUCUGAUUAGCUUGUUGGCGGGGUAACGGCCCACCAAGGCGACGAUCAGUAGGGGUUCUGAGAGGAAGGUCCCCCACAUUGGAACUGAGACACGGUCCAAACUCCUACGGGAGGCAGCAGUGAGGAAUAUUGAUCAAUGGGCGAGAGCCUGAACCAGCCAAGUAGCGUGCAGGAAGACGGCCCUAUGGGUUGUAAACUGCUUUUAUAAGGGAAUAAAGUGAGCCUCGUGAGGUUUUUUGCAUGUACCUUAUGAAUAAGGACCGGCUAAUUCCGUGCCAGCAGCCGCGGUAAUACGGAAGGUCCGGGCGUUAUCCGGAUUUAUUGGGUUUAAAGGGAGCGUAGGCCGGAGAUUAAGCGUGUUGUGAAAUGUAGAUGCUCAACAUCUGCACUGCAGCGCGAACUGGCUUCCUUGAGUACGCACAAAGUGGGCGGAAUUCGUGGUGUAGCGGUGAAAUGCUUAGAUAUCACGAAGAACUCCGAUUGCGAAGGCAGCUCACUGGAGCGCAACUGACGCUGAAGCUCGAAAGUGCGGGUAUCGAACAGGAUUAGAUACCCUGGUAGUCCGCACGGUAAACGAUGGAUGCCCGCUGUUGGUCUGAAUAGGUCAGCGGCCAAGCGAAAGCAUUAAGCAUCCCACCUGGGGAGUACGCCGGCAACGGUGCAACUCAAAUGAAUUGACGGA